Molecule: small RNA, 28 nt
Filed under: Bombyx mori (domestic silkworm)
Lineage: Eukaryota; Metazoa; Arthropoda; Insecta; Lepidoptera; Bombycidae
Description: ovarian small RNA-8499
Source: RNAcentral
UGCAGCGUUGUAUAUCCGACGGAGAAUA